RNAcentral lists this long non-coding RNA (244 nucleotides) under Bos mutus (wild yak). Its description in RNAcentral is "lncRNA (ENSBMUG00000017126.1)". Lineage: Eukaryota; Metazoa; Chordata; Mammalia; Artiodactyla; Bovidae. The record is from RNAcentral.
GGCACCCUCUUGAAGAGAAAUACUUUUGCUCAGCUUGGAAUGAAAUGCAGAUAACUCUUUAGAAAACUUUCAUAGGAAAAAAGCGCCUCGUGUGAUCUGGAACAAAGACAUUUUCUAAUCAGAUUUAUCAAGCUGUGAAGAGGGAGUUUUAGCGAACGGAAGCAGCAGCAUUCUGUCACCAGGAAAUACUGCUUUAUCCAGAAUUGAGCCCCACCCUGAAGGCUGCAUAUCAUCUAGCUGCUGG